ACGCUCGACACCUACGGGGGGCAGCAGUGGGGAAUAUUGGGCAAUGGGGGCAACCCUGACCCAGCAACGCCGCGUGAAGGAAGAAGGCUUUCGGGUUGUAAACUUCUUUGACAAGGGACGAAAUAAAUGACGGUACCUUGAAAACAAGCCACGGCUAACUACGUGCCAGCAGCAGCGGUAAUCUGAGCGGGCUGGCAAGGC
RNAcentral lists this ribosomal RNA (201 nucleotides) under uncultured bacterium. RNAcentral's name for it is "partial 16S ribosomal RNA". It matches the Rfam family "Bacterial small subunit ribosomal RNA", at positions 328 to 539 of the family's 1533-position model. The record is from RNAcentral.